CGCACUCGGUGGCGGUUGGCGUCGAGACGCUUCGGUUACCGGAGCAGCGUCCCGAGCAUCCCCACGAGGCGGCUGCGCUGUCUCGGGCCGUUACUGUGGGAUUGACUGGGUUCGCGCCGUCCUCUCUCCGGGUCCGCGGUCUGUAGCGGCCUCCACGACCCCACUCCUGGAGGAGAAGAGGGCCGCGCCUCCCGGUAGGCUCGUUGAAAGCUGGCCAGUAAGAAGCACGCCUUUAAGUCCACUUUCCCACUCAUCUGGGAAGCUGAUGUUGGGGACUGUCCACCCUGCUGCUUUAGGUUAAAAAACGGAGCCGUGCACUAGGCAAGCAGAAGCAGGAUCUUCACAAGUUUGGGGCCAGUCUGGUUUAUACAGAGUUUUCUGGGACUUCCCGGGGAGACCUUUUAUCCAAAAUAAAUGAAGACCUCAUCUCAAGGGUUACGGGUGCUUUCGUGAGGAGUGGUUGCCUGGGCUGAGACUCAGUCCCCAGUUGCGAGUGAAGGGGUAGAAACCUUUAGAUUUGAUUCUGGGGUGUGGGAUUGUGUGGAGGUCAGAGGACGAGUUGCGAGUGCUGGGGGUGGAGCGCAAGUGGCCAGCCUUGGUGGCAGGGCCUCUGCUGAGCCAUCUCGCAGAGUCCCCGUUAGUCUUUCCAUGGAUGCCUCUGUCUGACUAGGUUAACCGAAUGUAAGGCGUUUACAAAUCCUGAGCAGAUUUUCAGGGAAGAACUGUAGAAAUGCAAUGCUGUGAGAAAAGUACUUUUUCUAUGGGGUUUCAAGAAAGGAAGAAAAGUCUCCUCUCAGCCUUCCAUCAGCACAAACUCCGCCCUCUUCCAGAACUCAAAUUUGUUCUCAAUGAAUGUUCAGCUUUCCUCAAUGUAUUUGUAAUCUGUGCUUGUGUUGAUAUUUCUAUUCUCGAUCUAGUAUCUCACUGUAGCCCUUCCUCUGAGACCAUUAGCACAACCAAACAGUUGAGAAUGUAAAUUAAUUAAGUUAAAAGCACCAUAUACUACAAAUCUGUUGGUCCCCAAAGCUCAACAGCCAGAUAAGGAGCUUGCAUUAUGUAGGUUCAUGAAGAUUGUCGAUAUUAGUGGUGUUCUUGUUCAUUUAAAAUACUUGAUUUACAUAGGGAGUCUAAGAUAACCCAUCAUAAACUCUGCUUUGUCAUGAAACUUACCAAGUAGGAAGUCAUACAUUCACUCUCAUAUUCGUUGGACAAAUGAUAAUUAUCAACUAGUCCUGAGAAUACUAAAUCAUCAACUAGUCCUGAGGAUAUUAAUCAUCAACUAGUCCUGAGAAACUAAGCUAGGCACUUAAGUAUUAUCUAGCAGGAGACACAAAUAUAAACUUACUGCUACCACUGUGAGAGAAAAAAUUCCCAAAACAAGUGCCUGGUACUAAUGAAAUAUCUAACUCAAGUGUGUGAGAACACAGGUGUCUACCACAAAACCAAAAGACAAGAAGCAAUUAACAAGAUUGGGGGAAGGCUGUAAAAGGUAGAGACAUUAAGGAAGUAGAAAAACAAUUCUGAAGAUAACCUGUGACUGUCCACUUCUCCACUAUUGGUUUUUUUCUUAGUGGGUGAGCUGAGGAGGAGAGGGUGUGAGGUCUCUGGGUGCUUAGAGGCCUAUGGAGUUCAGAGAAAGCUAUGCUUUGAGGACCAAGGCACUCUAGUGCUUUUCCUAAGGGACAAUAUUUCUCAUCCUGUUGACACCAAAAAAAGAAUUCACGGAGGCUUUGAAGUUUGAAGUGGGCUGUGGUUAAAGGGUGAGAGUUUUACCUGUGGAGAGGGAAAGGUUUUCUAAGCAAAGGCAAUCUGUGGUGUAAGACUCAAUCUCAAGUGAGAGUGGUAAGAAAUCUUUAAAACCCAAAGUCAAUACGAAUGCUAUGUACAAGCCUGAAUGCGGAUGGAGGGAAGGACAAAGCAGAUAGGGAGAAAGCCCCGGAGAACACUUGUGUUCAGGCAAAAUGAAAGCCUAACCCAGGAGGCAGCCAUGGAAAUGGAGAAGGGAUCUUAGUUGAUCUGGGAUGGUUAAUUGAAAAUAGGAUCAAAUGCUACUUUUAAGCACCUCAAUGCCAAAUCACGCAUUACCUCAUCAGUCUCUGCAAAAAUUCCAUGAAAUGAGCAAACAAAAAACUGACCGGGCGUGGUGGUGCACGCCUUUAGUUCCAGCACUCUAGAGGCAGAAGCAGGCAGAUCUCUGAGAGUUCGAAGCCAACGUGUUCUACAGUGAGUCCAAGACAGCCUUG
RNAcentral lists this long non-coding RNA (2243 nucleotides) under Mus musculus (house mouse). RNAcentral describes it as "long non-coding RNA chr8:86746173-86748416". Lineage: Eukaryota; Metazoa; Chordata; Mammalia; Rodentia; Muridae. The record is from RNAcentral.